AUGCUUAGUGAACUGGGGAGAUUCCAUGAUCAUGAUGGUGUUUUUCCCAGGGUGAGGCUUAUCCAUUGCAUUCCAGGUGUGCUGACCCCUAUGAUUUCCUCGAAAGUAGAAAACUCAACUGCAAAAUUUAUGGUAGUGGGGGGCUGUGUUUGUGCUCUCCUAG
Small nuclear RNA from Sorex araneus (European shrew), 163 nucleotides. RefSeq annotates it as U1 spliceosomal RNA. The transcript has a single exon. The record is from RefSeq and is a predicted model, not a curated record. Lineage: Eukaryota; Metazoa; Chordata; Mammalia; Eulipotyphla; Soricidae.